RNAcentral lists this ribosomal RNA (1807 nucleotides) under metagenome. RNAcentral's name for it is "bacterial LSU rRNA". It matches the Rfam family "Bacterial large subunit ribosomal RNA", at positions 776 to 2470 of the family's 2925-position model. The record is from RNAcentral.
GAACCCACUAUUGUUGAAAAAAUAGGGGAUGAGCUGUGGAUCGGAGUGAAAGGCUAAUCAAAACUGGAGAUAGCUGGUUCUCCCCGAAAUGCAUUGAGGUGCAGCCUCGGAUGAUCGUCGUUGGCGGUAGAGCACUGACAGGGUUAGGGGCCGCAAGGUUACCAACCCCUUUCAAACUCCGAAUUCCAAUGAAUGUAGUCCGGGAGUGAGACGGCGGGAGAUAAGUUUCGUCGUCGAGAGGGAAAAAGCCCAGACUGCCGGCUAAGGCCCCCAAGUGCAUGCUAAGUGGUCAAGGAAGUGGGGAAACCCAGACAACCAGGAGGUUGGCUUAGAAGCAGCCAUCCUUUAAAGAAAGCGUAACAGCUCACUGGUCAAGUUUCUCUGCGCCGUAAAUAUAACGGGGCUAAGCAUGCCGCCGAAGCCGCAGACUUCCGCAAGGGAGUGGUAGGGGAGCGUUCCAGCUGCAGUGAAGGGGAUCCGGCAAGGGUUCUUGGAGCGGCUGGAAGAGAGAAUGCUGACAUGAGUAGCGAUAAAGGAGGUGAAAAUCCUCCUCGCCGAAAACCCAAGGGUUCCUGUCUCAAGGACAAUCUGGGCAGGGUUAGUCGGCCCCUAAGGCAAAGCCGAAAGGCGCAGCCGAUGGGAAGCAGGCGAAUAUUCCUGCACCGCCGCUGUGGAGCUGAGCAAGGACGGAGAAGGGUAGAUCAGCCGGUUAUUGGAUUCCGGUAUGCCCCUGUAGGUAGGCCGCGUAGGAAUAAAACGCGCGGUCGAAGCCGAGGGGGGUGUCGCAAGUGGUUGAUCCCAUGCUUCCAAGAAAAGCUGCGUACAGUGAUGAAACAGAGGCGACCGUACCCCAAACCGCCACAGGUGGGUGGGUGGAGAACACUAAGGCGCUUGAGAGAACUCGGGUUAAGGAACUAGGCAAAUUGACACCGUAACUUCGGAAUAAGGUGUGCCCCUGGCGGUGACGGGACUUGCUCCCAGAGCUACCGGGGGUCGCAGCUAAGCGGCGGUAGCGACUGUUUACCAAAAACACAGGCCUCUGCGAAGCCGUAAGGCGAUGUAUAGGGGCUGACGCCUGCCCGGUGCCGGAAGGUUAAGAGGAGCCGUAAGCGCAUGCGAAGCGGUGAAUCGAAGCCCCGGUAAACGGCGGCCGUAACNAUAACGGUCCUAAGGUAGCGAAAUUCCUUGUCNGGUAAGUUCUGACCCGCAUGAAUGGCGUAACGAUUACGGUCCUAAGGUAGCGAAAUUCCUUGUCGGGUAAGUUCCGACCUGCACGAAUGGCGUAACGAUGGCCAUCCUAAGGUAGCGAAAUUCCUUGUCGGGUAAGUUCCGACCUGCACGAAUGGCGUAACGACUUCCGCACUGUCUCGACCCGAGACUCAGCGAAAUUGACAUGGGGGUGAAGAUGCCUCCUACCCGUGGAAAGACGGAAAGACCCUGUGAACCUUUACUCUAACUUGGCAGUGGCAUUCGGUGUAAUUUGUGUAGGAUAGGUGGGAGGCUUUGAUAUCGGGACGCCAGUCUCGGUGGAGCCGCUGUUGAAAUACCACCCUGAUUAUUCUGGCUGCCUAACCCGCGAUGCGGGGACCCUGCCUGGUGGGGAGUUUGACUGGGGCGGUCGCCUCCCAAAAUGUAACGGAGGCGCACAAAGGUCCCCUCAGCUUGAUUGGAAACCAAGCGCAGAGUGCAAUGGCAUAAGGGGGCUUGACUGCGAGANGGACACNUCGAGCAGGUNNGAUAANNAGGUCAUAGUGAUCCGGCGGUUCCGAGUGGAAGGGCCGUCGCUCAACGAAUAAAAGGUACUCCG